ACGGUAGUCUGAGGCUGGGGGGCGGUAGCUGUUCUUAUUCCGCUAAUGUCCUGACAAACCAGGAAGUGGGCUAUAUUUUCAAAAACUGACAGGAACUGCGUCCGCUUCCAUGAGGAAGGGUUGUGCGGGACGGGGCAUCAGUGUUGGGGGUUACACGGUGUCUCUAAUGUCAGAAGCUGCUCAUGUACAAGUAUGAGGCAUAGCAGUGUGAGCUCGUAGUAUUACACGAAUGAGUAUAUUACACGAAGGAGCUGUUCGAAUCGAACGAGACUUUACAUGUCUAUGGAGUUUACAAUUCAGCAUUCAUGGAACAGUAUUCCCAUACCACACGACCCAGUGGAAAUCUGCCUAAAACCAACCCAUCAAGGGCUGCAGAUGGAUGUUUUGGCUCCAUUUUUUAAUGACCCUUCUGCACCCUUAGGCCCAGUUGGGGAACCCUUCCAAGCACUUUGGGACUAUGAAGUUGUGGAAGCUUUUUUCCUUAAUUCUGAAAAGGAGCAGUAUCUUGAAGUUGAACUUGGCCCACACGGGCAUCAUUUGGUGCUGCUUCUCUCACAACGCAGAACUAUUUGGAAGGAUUGUCUACCAUUGUCCUUUAAAGCAUCCAUAUCUCAGGAGACUUGGAAAGGUAGAGCACUUAUUCCAUGGGAAUACUUUCCCCCUUCAGUAGACCGAUUUAAUGCUUAUGCAAUUCAUGGCUCUGGGCUAAAGAGAACAUACGAGGCACUUUAUCCUAUUCCUGAAAAUGAAGUACUAGAAGGACAGCAACCUGACUUUCACCGGUUGGAGUAUUUCAGAUCUUUUAACUGCAAUGUGUUGAUGGGUGAAGAAUGGAAAACGCCUGCAUCCAGCCUCUGGAAAAUCAUAGGUGAAACCAAGAAAGUUUCUUUGAUGCUUCAGAGAGAUGGUUUCUAAGAGCAACAACAACUGAGCGUUUAGGUGAAUCAUACCACUGAGGACCAAGUGAUGAACUGGAGAUUCUGAUGUAAAGUGGACAUUGUCAGACUAACCAAGGCUGGUAACGGAAGUCAUGCAGGGGGUGAUAAUCAAGGCUGUCAUGGGCCAGCUUCUGUGCACCCAAGAAAGCAUUUCUCAUGAUCAGAUAUAACAUACUUUAAUCACAGAGCUGGAAAUGUGGUAAAUGUGGCCAGUGCCCUGAGCCAUCUUUUCCAUUACAUUGACAGAAUAAGGAAGAAAGGAGAGAAAUGGAGUGUGUCAUUUUGAGAGUUAAUGACAAACAGGGAAAUGACUGUCAAGAAACAUAACAAUUUGGAACAUGAAGGAGACAUUACAGUGUUAAAGAAUGCAUUGAGGAAUGUGAGAUGAAUAGAGAAAGACUUCAUUCUAUUUAGACAUAUAUUUGUUUGAACACUGAGUGUCAGUCACUCACUGUUAAAGCGCAGUCAGGAGAUUGCACUUUUCUAUAUGUUAACAACUUUCACUGGUUUGUAGUUCAUCAAAGCUUCUGAGCUAUGUUGUUCAAAUUCUUUUCCUUGUCAUGCCCUUGCAAAUAAAACAAA
This is an RNA transcript of Hyla sarda, 1520 nucleotides long. It is a transcript of the gene named chromosome 1 C4orf33 homolog, with no coding region annotated. NCBI's taxonomy places the organism in Eukaryota, Metazoa, Chordata, Amphibia, Anura, Hylidae. The transcript is spliced from 8 exons. The record is from RefSeq and is a predicted model, not a curated record.